RNAcentral lists this ribosomal RNA (490 nucleotides) under uncultured bacterium. RNAcentral's name for it is "partial 16S ribosomal RNA". It matches the Rfam family "Bacterial small subunit ribosomal RNA", at positions 28 to 507 of the family's 1533-position model. The record is from RNAcentral.
GAUGAACGCUAGCGAUAGGCUUAACACAUGCAAGUCGAGGGGCAGCAUGGUCUUAGCUUGCUAAGACUGAUGGCGACCGGCGCACGGGUGCGUAACGCGUAUGCAACUUGCCUCACAGAGGGGGAUAACCCGUCGAAAGACGGACUAAUACCGCGUACACUCUAUUUUGGGCAUCCAAGGUAGAGGAAAUGAAAUUCGCUGUGAGAUAGGCAUGCGUCCCAUUAGCUAGUUGGUGAGGUAACGGCUCACCAAGGCGACGAUGGGUAGGGGAACUGAGAGGUUGAACCCCCACACUGGUACUGAGACACGGACCAGACUCCUACGGGAGGCAGCAGUGAGGAAUAUUGGUCAAUGGGCGAGAGCCUGAACCAGCCAAGUCGCGUGAAGGAUGACUGUCUUAUGGAUUGUAAACUUCUUUUGUAGGGGAAUAAAGAGGGGCCCGUGUGCCCCAGUGAAUGUACCCUACGAAUAAGCAUCGGCUAACUCCGUG